Nematolebias whitei (Rio pearlfish) is the source of this 562-nucleotide long non-coding RNA. RefSeq lists it as uncharacterized. The transcript has 3 exons. The record is from RefSeq and is a predicted model, not a curated record. NCBI's taxonomy places the organism in Eukaryota, Metazoa, Chordata, Actinopteri, Cyprinodontiformes, Rivulidae.
AGUUUGCAAAGAGAACCGUUAAAUUUCAUGUUCAUUGGACGCGAACAAGUUGCAUACAGGUGUGCAAUAUUUUUUAUUUUUUGGCACGAACGGAACUCCACACGCAGAUGCUCGUUCUGUAAGAUCUCCAUUUAGCAUUUUUAAAUUAUUGUCUGUAGGCUGCUGGUCCAUGGGAAGGUAGCUGCUAAGCUAAUAGAUAAUUUUGCUGUUAGCAUCACUUCCGGUUAGCUCGGAUGCUAAGUUGUCAGCACAUUGUGAUAAAAGUCGGUGAAAACUCGUGUUUGUGAGCGUCAUGUAAGAGUGUCAGUUUGUAACAUGACUCGGAGCGUCACAGGCGGAAGGUCAAGGAGCAGCAGGACGGAACGGAAGCGGGAGUAAAAAAAAAAAAAAAAAAAAAAGAAGCCUAUCCGCCAUUGUGGAAUAGAGUGAGAGGGAUAUUCCAGUUGGGCACUCAGACCUAAAGGACAAGGAGGAAAUAAAGUGCAAAACGGAUCAAUGCAUCAAAAAGAUGGUGUGAACGAUGAUGAUUUCGAGCCUUACCUAAGCGGCCAGACAAAUCAGG